Trichechus manatus latirostris (Florida manatee) is the source of this 104-nucleotide small nuclear RNA. The record is from RefSeq and is a predicted model, not a curated record. NCBI's taxonomy places the organism in Eukaryota, Metazoa, Chordata, Mammalia, Sirenia, Trichechidae.
GUGCUCGCUUUGGUGGCACAUAUACUAAAUAUGGAACGAUAGAGAGAUUAGCAUGGCCCCUGUGCAAGGAUAACAGGCAAAUUCAUGAAGCAUUCCAUGUUUUU